This 945-nucleotide long non-coding RNA is filed under the name Zostera marina. RNAcentral's name for it is "long non-coding RNA (ZMAR_LNC001677)". Lineage: Eukaryota; Viridiplantae; Streptophyta; Magnoliopsida; Alismatales; Zosteraceae. The record is from RNAcentral.
GCAAACUCAAGAGCUUUCGCUCCACACUUGCCCACACGUUUUUACCUCCAAGCUUUCAAGUGUCCUAGCUUUCCAAAGCUUCAAAAGCUCUCCAACUUCUUCUUCUAAUCUUCUUGUUCAUCUUUACAAGUAAGAAGUGUUGUUUGCUUUAAUAUUCCACUCCUCUAAUCACCUCUUGUGUGUAUCCACUUUGGUGGAGAGGGUUGUCUCAAUAGUACCAAAGUGUGAGAGAAGGUUUUCGAGCUCAACCAUAAAGCUCUAGUUUGGUUUUAUAGAGUUUUCGGGAAAACUCUUAGGUCGAAUCUACCUUGAAAGAUUUCUAGGUUUUUAAGAGUUCUUUGAUACUCUAAGGUACUAACUUACCCGCAAAAGAUAGAGAUUCUUAAAAGUGCUCUCGAUACUCUAAAGUGUGAGUCUAUCCGUAAAAGACUGAUUCCUAAGCGAAGUAGCCUUAAAGCUUAGAGAGGUUUUUAAGAGUUCCUUGAUACUCUAAGGUACUAACUUACCCGCAAAAGUUAGAGGUUCUUAAGAGUGCCCUUGAUACUCUAAGGUGUGAGUCUACCCGUAAAAGACUGGUUCCUAAAUGAAGUAGCUUUAAAGCUUAGAGAGGUUCUUAAGAGUUUCCUUGAUACUCUAAGGUUUUGCCAUAACCUUUAGGCGAGUGAAUUCCGACAGUUGGUCAGGACUGGAUUAGCCCUUGUUUGGGUGAACCAGUAUAAAUCUCUCGUGUUAUUCUUUGUUAACUUUAGUUUUUAUCUUUUAUCUAAAACAACUAAACAACACUUAAUUGAAAAGGAUCCCUCUUCCAGUUAUCUGGUCAAAUACAGAGGUUGACUACUUUACGCAGAUCCCUCAUCCAGUUAUCUGGUCAACUAUCUGAAGUUAUAUUUAUUGCUUUAAAUCUUUAUUCAUAUAUUUGUUCAAGCAUUUACUUAUCAUAUAUAU